GUCAGGAGUAAAAAAAAAGGAUGUAAAUUAUAAUAUUUUUCUUUCCUGGAUAAGUAUUGGCAAAGGUUAAGCAAACUCAGAGUGAGAGACCCAUAUAGUUGAUAACUAUGUAAUGACAGUUGUAAUAGUAUGGAUUAGAUGAAAGACUUAUGAAAGAAAAAAAAAUUGAAUAUAGAUAUUGUAAAAAAUAGUGAUUGUAAGUGUAUGAUUGAUAUCCGAUUAUGGAAAUUUUUGUAGUCCCUCUAUUAGUUAGUCUAGGAUGGCAUAUGGCAGUAUCAUUAGAAUUCAGAUGCUGUAGAGGAAUAAGUUGAUUUUCUUGUUGGAAUGCUACUUAAGCAGUGUAUGUAUAAUGUACUGCACAAACUACUGAGUUCAACCGAGUAUGGUCCAUUUUUCAUUGACGUGGAAUUAUUUGAUUGUUGGGGAAAGAAUUCUAAGUGUGAGGCUGUACACUAAAUCUGACAUGUACAUAAAAUGUUACUUUCACUAAGACUAUGAUAUGUUUGCAAAUUGGAUAAGCCCCUAGAAUCAUAGAGAAAUACUUUGUAACAGGAAGAUAAGCUGUCUAACAUUGUUCUUAUUGUUCAUUUAAGAUUUGGACUUGCACAAUUGUCAACAAAAGGUGAUACCUAGUUGGUAAGGGGACUGUUUGAGUUGUCUAAUUGAGUGAUUGAUCUAGUGAUGCUAAUGCACUCGGCAUUUGUUUGUAUAUAUGCUCUCCACUUGCCUCCAAUUAUUAUUAUUAUUAUUAU
RNAcentral lists this unclassified non-coding RNA (752 nucleotides) under Hevea brasiliensis (rubber tree). The record is from RNAcentral. Lineage: Eukaryota; Viridiplantae; Streptophyta; Magnoliopsida; Malpighiales; Euphorbiaceae.